Molecule: long non-coding RNA, 949 nt
Filed under: Brassica napus (rape)
Lineage: Eukaryota; Viridiplantae; Streptophyta; Magnoliopsida; Brassicales; Brassicaceae
Description: long non-coding RNA (BNAP_LNC011808)
Source: RNAcentral
AGGUUUGGAUAGUUGAAAGAGUAGUUUGAAAAGUUUUAGAUAUUAUUAAAAUGAUUUUUAUUGGAAGCCAUUUUUCAAUGAAGAUAGGAAAAUAUAGAAACUGGUGUUUAUGAAAGGCUAAGAUGAUUUAUUAGGACGAAAGUAGGAUAAGAAGGAUAGAUACCGUCAGCUAGAUAAUACAUCAUAUUGUAAGGCCGUUGGUUCACGAAUAAGUUCACUCUUGGAGUAUUUCCUUGUUCAACAUAAUCGAACACUAGUGAAUGAUCUAGAACGUUUCUAUCGUUCAAUGUGCCUGGACAUCCAAAAAAUGCAUGCCAGAUCUAUAGAUCAUGGGUUGUGACCGCUUCAAGAAUAACAGUGGUAGUUCCCUUAUCUCCCCGGGUAUAUUGUCCUUUCCACGCUUUAGGACAUUUUUUUCAUUCCAAUGCAUGCAAUCAAUACUUCCAAUCAUCCCCGGGAACCCUCACGUUUCACUAACAUGCAAAAUUCUUUGCAGAUCAUCUUCAGUUUGGGUCCUGAGAUACACUUGCUCGUACAAUUGUAUGAUUCCGAAUUUUUGGGUCUUGUAGUCCUUAUAGUUAUUUUGUAUUUUCUUGUAUUUUUUUUGGUCCUUAUAGUUAUUUUUUGUCAUAAAUAUUAGUAACUUUUGUUAAUAUCAAUUACUAUAAUACAAAUAAAUAAACUUUUAAGGAGUUUUUUCAGGAUUUAUGGUUGAAGUAACCAACCCUCAAAUCCUCAUUUUGAAGUUUUGCUCCCCUUUAAAACGAGGUCUUGGGUUGGUGAUGCUCUUAGAAAGGUUUUUGUUGGGAUUCAUUUUUCAAUGAAGAUAGAAAAUAUAGAAACGAGAGUUUAUGAAAGGCUAAAGAUUUUUUUUUCUGUGUCCAAAUCUAAUGAAACAAAUAUCUUUUUAUAGUGUGAAAAAUUAUAAAUUUCGAUAUAAUUGUUUUUU